Molecule: long non-coding RNA, 1645 nt
Organism: Mustela erminea (ermine)
Lineage: Eukaryota; Metazoa; Chordata; Mammalia; Carnivora; Mustelidae
Exons: 4
Source: RefSeq, a predicted model, not a curated record
GCGGCGGUCUUCUCUGCAGCCCGGCCGCUCGGCGGGCGCGGAGAAAAAGCCUGCGUCUCUGCUGGCGGAGGCGGCUUCUUUUGUGUGUGUAGGUUAGGCCUGGGGUUUGGGGGGCACAUCCCAGCUCUUUCCAGAGACGGUGUUUUCACGUUGCCUCUGGCACACUCAAACGUUUUGUACUAUUUUCAUUUCUCAGUUUUUCUCACGGUUCUCACAGCCAAGGCUUCUAGAGAGAUGGAAGUUUUAUGUCCGUGAUUACAGACGGAGUGUAACCCAGCAUUCUGUGAGCGCCUUGAGAGCGAAAACAAUGUUCUUCUCCCCGCAUCCUCAGAGACCCACCGUUUCAUCUGCCUAGUAAACGCUGGAUUCCCGUGGCUUGUUAUCUUAGGCAAUUUGCAAGCUACUUAGGUUAUUUGCAUGCCAUUUAUGUUUGCUUCUCUACCUCCCGUCACCUUCUCCUUUCAUCUCCUCUUUCCCCGUCCGUUGCCCUUCAGUUUUACCCCCUUAGAUCGCAGCUGGUUUUUCUCUGAAUACUUCAAACGCCUCCAACUUGAAUGCAGCCAUCCUAGAGCCCACCCGGCACGAUAGAGGCAUCUUGAGGCAAGGGGCUUCUCUCUUAGAACCAUCGAAUGUCUGAGCGAGAAGGGACCUGGAAAAGGCGUCAUUAGCUCCAAACAUGUAUUUUUCAAAUGAGGGAACUGAGGCCAAAUAGAAGAGUGUUGGCUAAGAUGCAGAAAUCGCUCACACAAUGAUAAGCCAAAGAAGAUCCACCUGUACUUGGUAUGUUGGAAGAAGCUUCGUUGGAGUCUUACAGACCAGUGUGGUGAUGUGGAUACCAAUUACUAGUCCGUCAGUUUACCAGCUGGAUGGCCUCAGUCGAGUUACCUAACCUCUCUCUCAUGUUCAAUUUCAGAAUCUUCAGACUUGUAAUAAAAUGUACAUCACCAAGCUUGAAGGUUCGUGGUAGUUUAAAUGAGUUCUGGAGAUCAGAAGUCCAGAAUGGAUCUCACUGGGCCAAAAUCAGGAUGUCGGCAGGUCUGCAUUCCUUCUGGAAGCUUUAGAGAAACAACCCCAACGACAUGGAUCCAGGAACAGAAAUACUGGGGGUGAAGUUACAAACUGUCUCUACACUAGGCUCCAACAAUGUUAAGAUUGGCCUUGGAGGAAGCAGGUUUGAAGAAAAAGAACACAGGUGAUGACGAUGGUAGUAGUGAUACUAAUGAUGACAAACCCUUAUAUCAUACCUUCUAUACUCUGAAUUCCUUGAGGUCAAGGAACACAUUUUCCUCAUCUUUAUAUUCCCAUAGCAUCUGGAAGAAUGCCUUAGUUGAAUAAGGUAUUUAAUGAAUAUUGGCUGAAUUGAAUUGUUAAAAAAAGAGUCAAUGAAUUUCAGAACUAAGAAGGACCCAUGAAUCCAAGUCUCUCCCUCCCAGCCUUUUUUUCUAUUUCUGCUUGUCUGUCUGUCUGUCUGUCUUGCUUGCUUGCUUGCUUCCUUCCGCCCCACAGAAGGAGAAACCUAAUGCUAAACAGGUUGGUGGUAAAACAAUGCUGGUCCCACCACACAAAUCUUUGAAUAAACAAGUGAAAUAAACUGGAAUUGAGAUAUAAGUGUUUACUAGGUAGUGUUGAAACAAAAAUGAAAGGG